This 58-nucleotide transfer RNA is filed under the name Canis lupus familiaris (dog). The record is from Rfam by way of RNAcentral. Lineage: Eukaryota; Metazoa; Chordata; Mammalia; Carnivora; Canidae. RNAcentral also lists the same sequence under 1 other name.
GCCUGGGUGGCUCAGUGGUUGAGCGACUGACUUCAGCUCAGGUGAUGAUCCCUGGGUC